This 390-nucleotide ribosomal RNA is filed under the name uncultured bacterium. RNAcentral describes it as "bacterial SSU rRNA". It matches the Rfam family "Bacterial small subunit ribosomal RNA", at positions 28 to 417 of the family's 1533-position model. The record is from RNAcentral.
AUUGAACGCUGGCGGCAUGCUUUACACAUGCAAGUCGAACGGCAGCACGGGGGGCAACCCUGGUGGCGAGUGGCGAACGGGUGAGUAACACAUCGGAACGUGUCCAGUUGUGGGGGAUAACCCAUCGAAAGGUGGGCUAAUACCGCAUGAGCUGGCAACAGGAAAGCGGGGGACCCGCAAGGGCCUUGUGCGAUUGGAGCGGCCGAUGUCCGAUUAGCUAGUUGGUGGGGUAAAGGCCUACCAAGGCUUCGAUCGGUAGCUGGUCUGAGAGGAUGAUCAGCCACACUGGGACUGAGACACGGCCCAGACUCCUACGGGAGGCAGCAGUGGGGAAUUUUGGACAAUGGGCGCAAGCCUGAUCCAGCCAUGCCGCGUGCGGGAUGAAGGCCU